UACGGAGGGUGCAAGCGUUAUCCGGAUUCACUGGGUUUAAAGGGUGCGUAGGUGGGUCGGUAAGUCAGUGGUGAAAUCUCCGAGCUUAACUUGGAAACUGCCAUUGAUACUACCGAUCUUGAAUACUGUGGAGGUUAGCGGAAUAUGUCAUGUAGCGGUGAAAUGCUUAGAUAUGACAUAGAACACCAAUUGCGAAGGCAGCUGGCUACACAAUUAUUGACACUGAGGCACGAAAGCGUGGGGAUCAAACAGG
Molecule: ribosomal RNA, 253 nt
Filed under: uncultured bacterium
Lineage: Bacteria
Description: partial 16S ribosomal RNA
Rfam family: Bacterial small subunit ribosomal RNA
Source: RNAcentral